This 9091-nucleotide long non-coding RNA is filed under the name Physcomitrium patens. Its description in RNAcentral is "long non-coding RNA (PPAT_LNC002534)". Lineage: Eukaryota; Viridiplantae; Streptophyta; Bryopsida; Funariales; Funariaceae. The record is from RNAcentral.
GCUUGCAGUAUCCAUCAUCCAAAGACAAAUCCUGACACUGGGUUUUAGAAGUGGUCAGACACAUUACACAACAGGUUGUAUAGAGAAUUUUGUUUGUCAGUUAUGGGGGGAUAUCACUUUUUUGCUUGCUCUCUCACUCACUCACACUUACACACACAUACACACACAAAUAAUAACAAUGUUCUUUUUUUGCCCCCUUUGCUGAUCUCCUGUUUCAAUCAAUCUUUGUGCUGAGUGUCACCACCAGCAGCAGCAACAGCAGCAUCACUUGCUGCCAGCCAGCCAGCUACAAAAGUGCUCCAGCCUUGUUGCAGAUUUCCUUUUUCCUAUUUUCUCUUUCUAACGGCAGAGACUGGCAGCAUUCAAAACAAACAUGCAAAAACUAAUAAAUAAUGAAGGUAAACAUUUGUAUAUAUAUAUAUAUAUAUAUACACUUAUAUAUUCAAUAGUGAACAUGCAUGGAAAAAAGGCGAGAACAAGGAGAAGGAGAAGAAGAAGAAGAAGACAAAGCAGAAGAAUGAGGGUUGUGCUAGGCAUGACAAAUGGCAUUAAAAAGGUGGCGGCGCAUUACCAAACAGACCGGAAGCAGAACUGUGAUUGUAAAAAGGUACAAAAAUGUGUAUAUAUAUAUAUAUAUAUAUACACGGAAAAGUUAUGGAAAAGUAACAAUAUAUAUAUAUAUAUAUAUAUAAGGUAGGAUGAAAUGGAUGUCUUUUGCCAGGUCUUUGUGUCCAAGCAGUGUUUCUUUUUCUUCUUCUUCUGCCAUUUUUUUUUUUUGACAGAGAGCCUGUCUCCCUGUAUGUGUUUGCUCCUGACUUCUAUGUGGCAUUUUCCCUUCCAGUUCAGCAUUCAAUUUUUCAACUUAUUCCAUCCAUUUCUGAGCUGGUUCUUCUUCUGCUUUUCCCAGACAAGCCUGCAGCAAAUCACAACAGACACAUAGCAGUGGCAUACUUGUGCAUUAACUUCAUCCCCCCCCCCUCUAUUGCAAUACAACUGGGCAUGAAGCCUCUCCAUCCCCCCUCCUCUUCCCCUUUUUCCCCUUUUAAAUAAAUAAAAUAAAAAAUAAAUAUGUGCAUACAAUUUUCUAGCAUUGCUAUAAAAUAUAAUCACCUCAUCAUCAUACAGCUAAGCUGCUAUCAAACUCUUCAGUUUUGCAGGUUUGGGAACUGCAGCAACUGGCUGCAGAUACACAGUAGAACAACUCAUCAUCAAUGAAGGCUGUACUAACCCAAAUGCGUAGAAAACAUAUACAUAUAUAGAUAUAGAUACACUUCACAAAAGUUGAAUUAUUAUCUCCUUCCUCUGUUUUUCUGAAGGAAGUUUGAAUUGUGAUUAGAAUGUUCCCUGUGUGUGUGAGAGAGAGAAUGGGUUGAAAGUGAAGAAUCUGAUCUCAAGAACAGUGGCAUGCAGACAGCCACCAACCGCAGAGGACACAGUGUGUUAUUGUUUCAACCAUAACAAACAACAAACAAACAACCACUGCUGCUGCAGUUAGGUAGGUUUCCUUGGAGCCAGCUGGAACCAGCACCACCCAAACAAACACAGGAGCACAAAAGAAUAGAAGAAUAGAAGGAGUUGCUUCCUAUGGCUUUUUCCAUCUUAGAUUGAUCAAUAACAAUAACAAUUCUACACACAAUAACAACAACUACUCAAUAACAAACUCUCGUAUUCUUUGUCAAUGUUCAAAAAGAUUGUUUGAAUACACAGAAACCCUAACAGAAGUAAACAAGCUUGUGUCUGCAAAUGCAUGUAAUGAUGUGUGUGUGUACCCAAAAUCCCUCUUGCUAAUUAAAGAUGGAGACAGGUUUCUGGUGUGCUCAAUUUGUGGGUUUGAAUUGAAAGUUUGUUGUGCAAGGUGGAGUGUGUUUUGGUGUGAUUGAUGGCCCCAGAUAGGCUUCCAAGGUGGUCAUUUUAGUAUGUGAAGGUUUGAUGUAUUCCAAUACAAACAAGUUGGGGUGUUCCGUUGGCUUGGUUCCGCACAAACCCUAAUUUCCUUCUACUUCUUCUUCUUCUUCUUCUUCUGCUUCUAUUGAUUUUUUUGUAUGUCUUUUUGUGUCUUUCUAUGAUAUUAUGUGAGCUUUGUUACAAUGAAUAUAUGUCAUGUUGUGGGUGCCACAAGUUCUUAUUUGGGUACAUGCCUGCUGAUCAGGCAUAAGAAAAAGCAAAAGCUAAAUGCAAAAAGAGCAUGCAAGCCCAGGCUUUGAUUUUAAUUUUUCUAGGCCUUCAUCAGUCAGGGGAACAUGAAGAGAAUGUGUGGUCCUCUCCCAUGAAAGCACAUUUUGCACAUGAAUUUGUGCAUGUGCAAAACAUGGCCAUGUUCUCACCCAUUAUUUUUCUGUACCAAGGGUUUGUUUCCAACUCUAUAAAUAUUAUUUGUUUGUAUCACAUGCACAAGAAGAAAUAGUUGUUGUGCUCAUAGCCUCCAACAAACUAAGGACAUUACCCAGAUAUUGAACCAUGACAUUGUAUGUAAGCAUCUCCACACUUGAAAAAAAACAACAAUGAUAAUGACAACAAACAAUGUAAUGUAGAAGAAAAAAGAAAAAGAAGAAGAAAACAAACAUGUCACAACAUUCACUCGUGUAAUUUCAUUAACCGUGCAUCCAUCCCCUAAUCUUUUUCUACCUCUCUUUUUCCCCCCAUUUUUACAUAUUUUCUACAUGUUUUCAUACUCAAAACCAAUCCUCUGUGCAACCAUUAUCUUCUGACAAACACAAUUACACUUUUUUCAACUUCUAAAAACACAAUUCAUAAACCCUAAACCUUUGUCAUGGUUGAAUUCAUUCACAAUCCAUAAUAUUCAUGGUUCCAAUGUGUAUGAACAUUGGGGACGAACAUUUGAAUUAGGGUUUUUUUGGGGGGGUGGAGGGGGGAGAAAUAAUGCAACGAAACAUGGUUGUCCAGCUGGUGAGCAAUGUUUGUCCGCAUGUCUGUGACUUUGACUCUGUCUGUCUAUUUGUCCCUCUGUCUCUCUGUCCCUCUGUGUCCCUCUGUCUGUUGGUUUGUUUGUUUGUUUAUGUUGGCGAAAGCAGGAUCCAGUCGAGGAGCCCUAAACCAGGGCUCCCCAUGCAACCAACCCCCUCCCUUCUGCUUCUCAGGCGGGACUGACUGGGGAUGGGUGGGGCAGGCCACCGCGACACUGGACCCGGCCCGGCCUCACCCGCGCUGAGAACCUUGCGGUUCCACCGUAGGAAACACGGUCGUGGAACCGGGCCUCGGGUCUUUCGUGCUCCACCUGGAUCCCGCCAUCGUCCUGCCCUAUGUCCGUUCCCGCUAUCGAUUCGAAUCCGGAUACCGCAAUUUGGUGCUACCCCAUGGCCGUGGCUAGGAAGAGAUCCGAACCAACCUCCGAACCUGGAAACGAACUUCAACUGCGCUAGUGAAAAAAGAUUGCAGUCAAGCUGUUGCGGUGAAGAGGAGAAUAUUCUCGCGAGAAUCUGACGUGGCGGGGAACACUAUGCUUACAAUUUGUAGGCCCCGCUUUCACACUUACUAGAGUUUCUGAGGUGAAGCCCUCACACUUCAGGAUUUCAGCGUGAACUGUUUCCCAAAUUAUUCUCAAUUGAUCUGGUUAUCAUUGAAAAACAUGUGUGAUAUCACUCGCUGGCUCGCUCUCUCUCUCUCUCUCUCGCUUGUAUGUGUUUGGAGAUUCAUUUCUCAAUUGAUGGAUGUAUCUGGAGGGAGUGGAACAAACAUGCAACUUUAAUGCGGACAUUCAUCUUGAGUAAUUGUUAGCGGCUAAUCGAUUUUGACUUCAUGAUGCAUUAGCGCUGUGGAUUUCAUCCUUGAUAUUGUGGACGUAUACAUGUUAGAAGAAUAUAUAUAUAUAUAUAUAUAUAUAUAUAAGUACAAUAUAUCUCAUCUGAAACCAAAUAAGCUUUGGUUUUUGGUUUGCUGCUGGUGCGAUUUCCAUCCAGUGGUUCAAUUGCAAGUCAACGGGGACCUACGGUGGAGUGUCUUAGGUGUUCUGUCCACUUCUAAAUGUCUUUUAGGCUAUUCUUGUUCAUUCAAAUUCUAAAUAUGAAAAAACCUCUGCCAUGCACGCAAAUAGCAUGAGUAUCUUCAUAUCUAUGUUUGUAUGGCAUUGAAGGAGAAUUAAAGCAUACAAAACCUCAUUUGCAGAUUUUAAAACAUCAUAUACUGUAAUCUGAUGGAGUUUGACCUAGAUAUUGAAGAAUAUCCUGUGGGCAUUGCAAAUGAGUUUUCACUUUACGGAUUGAAUAAAGAAAAAAGAGACAUGAAAAUUGUGUGAAAAGAAUAUCAACAAUCAUGCCAACCUGUAAAAAUAUCCACAACUGCAACAGGUUAAAUGAUAACACUGUUAUUGUUUUUGUGUAUGGAAAUUAGUAUUCGAAUCAAUGUUACUGACGUUUUUAUAUAUUUUUCAACAAACCAAUUGAGCCAGAACAGAAGCUGGACUGACAGUUUGAAUGAGAAUAAAAUACAAACAAAAAUGAUGUGAAAGCUGAGCCAGAAAGGGGAGAUGCCAAGGUUGGACGUGGCCGGCUCACAACGCAGAAGCAAAUCGGAAAUUGAUUGGUUCAAGAAAUUUCCAGCUGGGCAAACGCUGUUCGGAAAAGCUGAGUCAGCAGACCAAAAGCUGAGGGGGGUUGCAUCCAAUGGGAUCGGCGCGCCGGGCCCUGCCAUGUCAUACAAUUAGUAAUGUAUGAUUCGGUAGAGGACUCCUUGCCUGACCAUCCAUCCAUCUCCCGUGACUGCCAUAGGAGAGGAGAGGAAAAAAAAAAACAGAGGCUCACACGACAUGUUCUGCUUGGAAUUAUGCGCUCUCAUUGAGUGGAACUGCGCUGCCCUGUUCUGACCUAUUCUACUCUGCUUUGCUCUGUUCUGCUGCGACGAUCCUCUGCUUCUUCAUUGUUUCUCCACCUUUUUGUCUCCGCUUCAUUAACAAAAGCGUAAUCCUCAUGACACAACUGCCAGUGGGGGUUCUGAAAGCUUGGCGACAAUCAGAGACGCUACCCAACCAAUUCGUUGGAGAAGCGCAUCGGCGAUGAAUUUUGUGUGGUAGCAGGGUGGUCCUGUGGCGCGUGGGAUCCGAUCUCACAUUCUACACACGGAGACGCGCGAGAUUGAUAAAUCGGUAGGUAGAUGGACAGGUAGAAAAGAAAGACGGAAAGGAGCAACGCAGAGCGAGAGCAGAGACAAAAGGAAUGUAUUCCUCUGCAGCUCGGCAGAAACUGAAACGGGGCAGGGCAGGGGCAGGGCUGGCGGAAGGGCCUUUGAUGAUGGCUGGCUGGGGCUUAGAAAGCCGGUGCGGUGCCGCAGGGAGGCUGCCGCACACUUGAGUGCGGUGCCACCACUUGGUGCAGGCAGGCGGGGGUGCGUCGUCUUUGCCUGACCAUUCGAUUCUCUGAUCCAUCCAUAGCCUGGGAGGCGCAUUCGACGAACUCCCUCUCUCCCUCUCUCCCUCUCUCCUUUCUUUCUUUCAUCUUUCUUCAUUGCUUCCCUCCUCUGCUACUGUAGCUGCGUCUUUCUUUCUUUCUUUCUUUCCGCUUGGAUGCUCUUUGCUGCAGAGACGAAGUGAAAUGAAGGGAAAGGGGAGAGGAGGACGACUGGAGGUGUGUGUGUGUGUGUGUUGUUGUUGGUUGGAUGAUAUUCGUAUUAUUAUUAUUAUUAUUAUUAUGCCCUGGCCUGUCCUUUUGGUCUGGAGAUCUGCCUGCAAAGGGUGGUCUGCUGGCUGCGCAACAGCUUUGGCUUUCUGUUGCAUCAUAAUAUUAUUCCAGCAGCACUGCCGCAGUGGCGCAUUCAUGAGCCCCUUGUCGCUGCCUUCUGGCCUCACCCUGAAACCUCCGUUCCUUCCCCUCCCCUCCCUCAGGGUUUGCCCUGCUGCCCUACUCCUACUGCAUUGCUUGCUUGCCUGGGUCUGUGUGUAUGUGUGUGUGAGUGGCUGUGUGUCUGUCCGGCUCCGUCUCUUCUGCUUGUCUCAGCAGGAAGCAGAAGCAGAUCUUCUCCGCUGCAGGUGUGGCUUCGCUGCUGCAGCUGCUGUCAUGCUCCAUGAAAAAUUCGCUGAAGCCUACGAUCCUCUCGUCUGGAAUCCAUCUUCCUAUGAUCAUAAAUAACUAAAUAAUAAUAACAAUAAUAAUAAUAAACUGAAAUUGAACUCUUGCUUAUUAUUCUCAUCUAACGAAAUUGAAUUGCGAGCACAUCAUAUACACUGCUCCGAAGGAAUCACACAAAAAUGAUUGAAUACUAGGAUAAACAUCAUGUGGAUCAACAAAAUCUAUGACAAUGACCAUGAUGCCUUUUAAGAAAAAGUUGCAUUGGGUAAAUUAAGGAAUUUUUUUUUAAAAAAAAAUCUACAACCUCGGUUUGGAAGGCCAUACUUAAAAAAUCUCCUCCUUGGUGAGAAAAAAGUAGUGUUUUGAAAGUCUUUAUUGAUAGAGAUAGUAGACUAUGAAAAGAAGCUAUUGUAUGAAUCAAAUCAUUUCGUUGUUUCAAUUUUGAAUAUGGCAUGCAAAAUCUUAAUUGUGACAAUUAUGACAUCUAUGCACAACUUCCUACAUUUUUGUCAAAAAAUCAUCUCUUAAUGAAAAAGUCAUCUCAACUUUUAAAAGAUAAUACUAUUAAUGAUAUAUGAAAAAUAAGAUACAUUCAACUUUAUUAUUUUAUGGCUUCUUAGUUGAUUUUCUAAUUAUAAUAGAGUCUUUAUAUAUAACUACCUAUUUCUUUAAAGGCCAUGGUAUAGAAGUCUUGGCUAACAAAACCUCUCGUUUAGAAGCCUUGGCAUUUAGAGAUAAUAUACAAAGAAAAGAAAAGAAAAAGAAGAAAAACUAAAAUUUACUAAAAUACAUCUUUUAUUAUAAGUCUAAAUGUUACAAAUCACAUCACAAUUCUCUCUCUCUCUAUAUAUAUAUAUAUAUAUAUAUAUAUUUCUUUAACACAACUUCUCAAUUUUUUUAUAAACCACAUAUUGAGGUAGGCCUCUUGUAAAUUUUUGUGAGAUAGUACUAUUUAUGCCAAAUAAAAAAGACACAUUUUACCUUAUAUUUUUUAAUGGCUUUUGAGUUGGUUUAUCUAAGUAAAAAUCCAACUAUGUGUAGCUUCUUAAUUUCAUCUAAUAAUUUAUUAAACUAUUACAUUCUAUUAGAAGAAACAACAUAAGAAAUAAAAAUUAAAUCAAAUUAAAUAUCUUUUAUAAUGUUUAAUAAAACAUAAAGUAAUUUAAAUUAUACAACUUUUUGUAGCUAUAGAAUUUGUAUAUUAUUGGUGAUUUUAUAACAUUUAUAACAAAUACCAUCCAUAGAUUGUAAAUUUAAAUAAUCAAAAUAAUUAGUUUAACUGAUCAAUAUACAUAAUAAUGGUAUUUAAUAGUAAUUAGAACAAAAAAUAUAACAAGUUGUUAUUUUUGAACUUUUCACAAGUCAUUUAUAUAGUUAUGUUGUAACAAAAACUAUAAUAUAACAAGGAGAAAUAAAUAUAAUUUAAUGUUAAAAAUUAAAUUUACUAUAUUUCUUAAUUUAUGCCUAUUUGAUCUUUAAAGCCAUCAUUUUAUAAAUAUAUCACACAUAACUAGGCAUAAUGUUAUUAUAAAAAGAUGAAAAUAACAGGCUUUAUCUUAUCCUAUUUUUAUUAUAUUUAAAGAUAAUACUUUUUAAUUAAGAUUAAUAUUGAGAUUUGUGAUUACUAACUCUCUGCUCUUAAAGUUCUAUUUUUAAACUCACUGGAAAUGUUAUGAGGUGCUUUUAGCUAAGUUACAAUUUAUGUUAAGCACAAAAAAAUAAUUAUCUUAUAUUGAUACUUGCCUUAAAUCCUCAUUAAGUCUAUUGAGAUACAUCUUUCUAAAAAGUUGCAUUCAAGAUUAUACUUUAUUCUAAAAUAUCAAAAAGACUUGUUAAACAUCUAAUGUGGAUAUUUUUAUUUUGCACCAAAAGAAUAAAAUGUUGCAUAGUUAACAGCAAACCAUUCUUUUGAAAUUUAAAGAAACUACAUCUUUGAACAAUACAAUCAACAAUUCAAGUUGAUUCCAAGUUCCUUGAUAAUAUUCAUUUAAUCAUGUUGAGAGAUCAUCUCCUUCUGAAGGUUAAAUAUAUAGUUAUGAUAAUUCAAGUAAACUUUGUUCUUCUUUUGAAAUAUAUAUCUUUCAAAUAUACAACUAAAUAUCUUUUAAGCACAACAUACUUUUUCUUAAUAGGAUAACAAUUUGGAUAUAAAAAAACUUUGAAGAUUGUUUAAAGAUGCUGCUUUUAUGAAAUUAUAUGUAAAGAAAAACUUCCAAUAUAUUUGUACAUCUUUGAAUUAUUUUUUCUUGGCUUAAACUGUUUCUUUCUCAAACUAUUUUAAUUCAAUUGUGUGUGUGUGUGUAUAUAUAUAUAUAUAUAUAUAUACAUAUACAUAAUACAAAAAAUCAUGUAGUUAUUUGGUAACUAAUAAUCACAUGAUAUUAAAAUUCAACUAUAGUUUUAUUUUAUAAAGAUAAAUAUCUUUUCUGUACAUAGAUGUAAGUAAGUAUAUAGUGGCAUGUUAUUUUACUUUUAAAGUUUAAAAUUGAAAUAACAGUGAGGAUAUUUACUUCUUAAAGUUAUCAUCAGAAAGAUUGAAUCUCAAUUAAUUUAAUCAAGAUAUUUUUAAAAUCAUUUAAGAUUCAAUACAUGUACCUCUGUUUUCGUACUAAAAAAAUCAUAUUCCCUCUGUGAUUGUAAAUCAAUAACAAAACCAAAAGUAAUUACAGUUCUCUAAAUUAGUUUAAUAAUAUAGACAUAAUUACAAGAACAUAUUGUGAAACAUUUACAAAAUAUUGCCAAUGAAAGUCUUAAAAAAGAAAAAAAAGAAAAAAAGAAAAAAAAAAGUUACUUAACUGCCAAAAAAAUCUAUAGAAAUUAACACUAUAUAUAUAUAUAUAUAUAUAUGUGUGUGUGUGUGUGUGUGUGUGUGUGUCGAUUUUCAUUGAUUUCAGAUCCAAUUGUGGAGAAAUAAAGUUAGAGGUAAUUUUAUUUCUUUUCAUGAUGGUUAGAAUGAAUGGAUAAAUUUAGUAAAAGCAUGAAACUAUUAUACAUUCUUGUGUGUGAAUGUAUGCAUGUAUAUAAAUAUAUGUAAAAUACAAGUCUAGUAGAGCUCCCAUAACAUCAUUGUUCUC